UGGGGAAUAUUGCACAAUGGGCGCAAGCCUGAUGCAGCCAUGCCGCGUGUGUGAAGAAGGCUUUCGGGUUGUAAAGCACUUUCAGCGGGGAGGAAGGCGUUAAGGUUAAUAACCUUGGCGAUUGACGUUACCCGCAGAAGAAGCACCGGCUAACUCCGUGCCAGCAGCCGCGGUAAUACGGAGGGUGCAAGCGUUAAUCGGAAUUACUGGGCGUAAAGCGCACGCAUGCGGUCUGUCAAGUCGGAUGUGAAAUCCCCGGGCUCAACCUGGGAACUGCAUGCGAAACUGGGAGGCUAGAGUCUUGUAGAGGGGGGUAGAAUUCCAGGUGUAGCGGUGAAAUGCGUAGAGAUCUGGAGGAAUACCGGUGGCGAAGGCGGCCCCCUGGACAAAGACUGACGCUCAGGUGCGAAAGAGUGGGGAGCAAACAGG
Molecule: ribosomal RNA, 429 nt
Filed under: Chloroflexota bacterium
Lineage: Bacteria; Bacillati; Chloroflexota
Description: Chloroflexi bacterium partial 16S ribosomal RNA
Rfam family: Bacterial small subunit ribosomal RNA
Source: RNAcentral